UGCCAUGCUUGGGGGCAUGGUCAUGCAGGGCUUAACUGAGAGGACAAUGGCAUGUAUAGGCAUAAUGCGGGGAUUUCGGGGUGUCCGUGGUUAGAGUUCUCUCAGG
This is a regulatory RNA element of Callipepla squamata (scaled quail), 106 nucleotides long. It matches the Rfam family "Retrovirus direct repeat 1 (dr1)". Lineage: Eukaryota; Metazoa; Chordata; Aves; Galliformes; Odontophoridae. The record is from Rfam.